ACUCCUACGGGAGGCUGCAGUGGGGAAUAUUGCGCAAUGGGCGAAAGCCUGACGCAGCGACGCCGCGUGAGGGAUGAAGGCCUUCGGGUUGUAAACCUCUUUCAGCAGGGACGAAGCGAGAGUGACGGUACCUGCAGAAGAAGCACCGGCCAACUACGUGCCAGCAGCCGCGGUAAUACGUAGGGUGCAAGCGUUGUCCGGAAUUAUUGGGCGUAAAGAGCUCGUAGGCGGUCUGUCGCGUCGGCUGUGAAAACUCGGGGCUCAACCCCGAGCCUGCAGUCGAUACGGGCAGACUAGAGUGCUGUAGGGGAGACUGGAAUUCCUGGUGUAGCGGUGAAAUGCGCAGAUAUCAGGGGGAACACCGGUGGCGAAGGCGGGUCUCUGGGCAGUAACUGACGCUGAGGAGCGAAAGCGUGGGGAGCAAACAGGAUUAGAUACCCUGGUAGUCCACGCCGUAAACGGUGGGUGCUAGGUGUGAGCGGUAUUCCACGCCGUUCGUGCCGCAGCUAACGCAUUAAGCACCCCGCCUGGGGAGUACGGCCGCAAGGCUAAAACUCAAAGGAAUUGACGGGGGCCCGCACAAGCAGCGGAGCAUGUGGCUUAAUUCGACGCAACGCGAAGAACCUUACCAAGGCUUGACAUACACCGAAAACUCAUAGAGAUAUGGGGUCCGCAAGGGCGGUGUACAGGUGGUGCAUGGUUGUCGUCAGCUCGUGUCGUGAGAUGUUGGGUUAAGUCCCGCAACGAGCGCAACCCUCGUUCUAUGUUGCCAGCGCGUUAUGGCGGGGACUCAUAGGAGACUGCCGGGGUCAACUCGGAGGAAGGUGGGGACGACGUCAAAUCAUCAUGCCCCUUAUGUCUUGGGCUGCACACAUGCUACAAUGGCCGGUACAAAGGGCUGCUAAACCGCGAGGUGGAGCGAAUCCCAAAAAGCCGGUCUCAGCUCGGAUUGGGGUCUGCAACUCGACCCCAUGAAGUCGGAGUUGCUAGUAAUCGCAGAUCAGCAACGCUGCGGUGAAUACGUUCCCGGGCCUUGUACACACCGCCCGU
This 1050-nucleotide ribosomal RNA is filed under the name uncultured bacterium. RNAcentral's name for it is "bacterial SSU rRNA". It matches the Rfam family "Bacterial small subunit ribosomal RNA", at positions 335 to 1397 of the family's 1533-position model. The record is from RNAcentral.